UCUCCCUCCCUUUGAAAAACAGUUCAUCAACUUGAAUGUAGCAGAAUAAAUUACAACAGGGAGACGUUCAAAGAAUGAACUGAUUCUUGCUGGACGUGAGACCUUACAAGGAGCAAACUCUCUUUUGAUAAGCUGUAUGGACUUUGUGGACUCCUCUUCUUGUACGCAGCAGGCGGCCAUAUGUUUCCCAACAAGG
Long non-coding RNA from Rhodamnia argentea, 196 nucleotides. RefSeq lists it as uncharacterized. NCBI's taxonomy places the organism in Eukaryota, Viridiplantae, Streptophyta, Magnoliopsida, Myrtales, Myrtaceae. The record is from RefSeq and is a predicted model, not a curated record. The transcript has 3 exons.